Molecule: ribosomal RNA, 242 nt
Filed under: uncultured bacterium
Lineage: Bacteria
Description: partial 16S ribosomal RNA
Rfam family: Bacterial small subunit ribosomal RNA
Source: RNAcentral
CGGACCGGCGCACGGGUGCGUAACGCGUAUGCAACCUGCCUGAUACCGGGGUAUAGCCCAUGGAAACGUGGAUUAACACCCCAUAGUACUUUUAUCCUGCAUGGGAUGUGAGUUAAAUGUUCAAGGUAUCGGAUGGGCAUGCGUCCUAUUAGUUAGUUGGCGGGGUAACAGCCCACCAAGACGAUGAUAGGUAGGGGUUCUGAGAGGAAGGUCCCCCACAUUGGAACUGAGACACGGUCCAA